UACAGAGGGUGCAAGCGUUGCUCGGAUUUACUGGGCGUAAAGCGUACGCAGACGGCUUGGUAGGUCGGAUGUGAAAGCCCCGGGCUCAACCCGGGAAUUGCAUCCGAAACCCCUUGGCUAGAGUGUGGGAGAGGGAAGCGGAAUUCCUGGUGUAGAGGUGAAAUUCGUAGAUAUCAGGAGGAACACCGGCGGCGAAGGCGGCUUCCUGGCCCAUUACUGACGUUCAGGUACGAAAGCGUGGGGAGCAAACAGG
Molecule: ribosomal RNA, 253 nt
Filed under: uncultured bacterium
Lineage: Bacteria
Description: partial 16S ribosomal RNA
Rfam family: Bacterial small subunit ribosomal RNA
Source: RNAcentral